GAGGAUCAUUAAUAAUUUUUUUGAAAUAAAAAAAAUAUAAUCAUCCUACCCUUUGUGAAUUUGUUUGUUUGAAUAAUUUUUUAAAAUUAUUAUUGUCUAUCCAAGUUGGAAAGUUGUAAAAGACUCGAAGACUUGGAGCGGCAUAAUAAUUUAAAGACUUUUUUAAAAUUAAACUUUGUAUCAUUUGUCUAAAUAAUUUUAUAAUAUAUAAAAACACUUUGACAAUGGAUCUCUUGGUCUCGCAACGAUGAAGAACGCAGCAAAAUGCGAUAAGUAAUGUGAAUUGCAGAAUACGUGAAUCAUCGAUCUUCGAACGCAUUGCACUUUUUAGUUUACUAAAAAGUAUUCUGUUGAGUAUCAGUAAAUAUCUCAUAAAUUUUAAUUUAUGGUAUGAGUGUUUACAACGAUAAACAAGUUGUUCACUUAAAUUGAAUUUUUUUGAAGAAAUUCUUAAUUCAAUUAAUUUGGAUAAAUUUUCCCGUAAAAAGGAUAACUAUACAAGUUUAAUAAGAAUUAGUGAUUUCUUUUAUGAAAAGGAAAUUUAUAAUAACUUGAUCUCAAAUCAGAUAAGAUACCGCUGAAUUAAGCAUAUCAAUAAGCGGAGAAAAGAAACUAACAGAUUCCCCUAGUAACGGCGAGUGAAGCGGGAAGAGCUCAAAUUGAAAUCUAAAGGGUUUCCCUUUACGAUUGUAGUUUAAGAAGUGUUUCUGUUGAGUUUGGUAAAAGUUCUUUGGAAUAGACAUCAUAGAGGGUGAGAAUCCCGUAUUUGACCUUACUUUCAACUUUGUGAUACACUUUCAAAGAGUCGGAUUGUUGGGAAUGCAGUCCAAAUGGGUGUAAUUCAUCUAAAGCUAAUAUUGGCGAGAGACGAUAGCGAACAAGUACCGUGAGGGAAGAUGAAAGACUUUGAAAGAGAGUAACAGUACGUGAAAUGUCAAAGGAAGCGUUUGACACCAGUGUUGUUUUCUGAAAUCAAUUAAAGAACUGUUUAUGCUAAGUUGUUUAGACUUUAUCAGCUAACUGUUAGUUUUGAGCUUUCUUUAAUGCACUUUUCAGUUAACAAGUCAACAUCAAUUCUUUUGCUGUAAAAAAGCUUGAGGAAGGUGGCUUGAGAUUCGUCUUAAGUGUUUAUAGCCUCUGCCUGUGCAGUCGGAGAGAUUGAGGUCUGCAGCGUAGAUCCUUCGGGCUAAAUGCAUUUGUGCUAAGUUAUAGCAUUUAUAGACAACUUGUUGACUAUGAUUUGUCUUGUAGCUUACUCGCUUAUGUAUUUACCUACGCUUAGGAUGUUGA
This 1290-nucleotide unclassified non-coding RNA is filed under the name uncultured Neocallimastigales. Its description in RNAcentral is "partial contains internal transcribed spacer 1, 5.8S ribosomal RNA, internal transcribed spacer 2, and large subunit ribosomal RNA". The stretch from base 553 to 1290 matches the Rfam family "Eukaryotic large subunit ribosomal RNA", at positions 1 to 629 of the family's 3401-position model. Lineage: Eukaryota; Fungi; Neocallimastigomycota; Neocallimastigomycetes; Neocallimastigales. The record is from RNAcentral.